RNAcentral lists this ribosomal RNA (497 nucleotides) under uncultured bacterium. RNAcentral describes it as "partial 16S ribosomal RNA". It matches the Rfam family "Bacterial small subunit ribosomal RNA", at positions 28 to 507 of the family's 1533-position model. The record is from RNAcentral.
GAUGAACGCUGGCGGCGUGCCUAAUACAUGCAAGUCGAGCGAACGGACGAGAAGCUUGCUUCUCUAAUGUUAGCGGCGGACGGGUGAGUAACACGUGGAAAACCUACCUAUAAGACUGGGAUAAUUUCGGGAAACCGUAGCUAAUAACGGAUAAUAUUUUGAUCCGAAUGGUUCAAAAGUGAAAGACGGUCUUGCUGUUACUUAUAGAUGGAUCUGCGCUGCAUUAGCUAGUUGGUAAGGUAACGGCUUACCAAGGCAACGAUGCAUAGCCGAACUGAGAGGGUGGUCGACCACCCUGGAACUGAGACGAGGUCCAGACUCCUACGGGAGGGAACAGUAGAGAAUCUGCCGCAAUGGGCGGAAGGCUGGCGGAGCAACGCCGCGUGAGGUAUGAAGGUCCUCGGAUCGGAAUACUCUGUUAUUAGGGAAGAACAUAUGUGUAAGUAACUGUGCACAGCUUGACGGUACCUAAUCAGAAAGCCACGGCUAACUACGUG